UACGUAGGGGGCUAGCGUUGUCCGGAUUUAUUGGGCGUAAAGAGCGUGUAGGCGGCCAGAUAGGUCAGCUGUGAAAACUCGAGGCUCAACCUCGAGACGUCGGUUGAAACCAUCUGGCUAGAGUCCGGAAGAGGAGAGUGGAAUUCCCGGUGUAGCGGUGAAAUGCGCAGAUAUCGGGAAGAACACCCGUGGCGAAGGCGGCUCUCUGGGACGGUACUGACGCUGAGACGCGAAAGCGUGGGGAGCGAACAGG
RNAcentral lists this ribosomal RNA (253 nucleotides) under uncultured bacterium. Its description in RNAcentral is "partial 16S ribosomal RNA". It matches the Rfam family "Bacterial small subunit ribosomal RNA", at positions 524 to 776 of the family's 1533-position model. The record is from RNAcentral.